GUAGACCUGAAAUCAGUCGAGGGUACCCGCUGAAUUUAAGCAUAUUAUUAAGCGGAGGAAGAGAAAAUAACUAUGAUUCCCUUAGUAACGGCGAGUGAAGAGGGAGGUGCUCAAAGUGAUAAUCGUGAUACCUCUUAUGGUACCUCGAGUUGUAGCCUCUAGAGGCGUACCAGUGGAAAGGGCAGGUCCAAGUUUCUUGGAACAGAACUUCAGAGAGG
RNAcentral lists this ribosomal RNA (218 nucleotides) under Eimeria canadensis. RNAcentral describes it as "partial 28S rRNA". It matches the Rfam family "Eukaryotic large subunit ribosomal RNA", at positions 1 to 211 of the family's 3401-position model. Lineage: Eukaryota; Apicomplexa; Conoidasida; Eucoccidiorida; Eimeriidae. The record is from RNAcentral.